This is a non-coding RNA of Pelobates cultripes (western spadefoot toad), 799 nucleotides long. Lineage: Eukaryota; Metazoa; Chordata; Amphibia; Anura; Pelobatidae. The record is from the annotation of a GenBank genome assembly.
GGAAUAGACGUUUUGUUACACCCAUUAACCCCAGAGUUAAUAUACCAGAGAGUGUUAAAGUGUCUGAGGAGGAACCUAUGCAAUUAGGGGUUGCCAAACUCUCUGAUACUGAGAAAUUACAUAGGAGAAGGGAGGGACUCUGCCUAUACUGUGGUAGGAGAGACCAUAUGGUAAAGGAAUGUCCUUUACUCCCGGAAAACUCUUGCACCUAAGACCUUAUAGGGGACUGGCCUUGGGUGUGAUAUCUAAGUCUCCUAAAUUGCCUCCUAACCGCUUGCUUCUCCCGGUUUCUUUAUAUAUGGGAAAGAUUUGUAUAGUUGACAACAUAUAUGCUCUGGUUGACUCUGGGGCAGCUGAAAAUUUUAUAGACUCUGGCUUUAUAAAGAGAAACAACAUUCCCAUCAGAGAGAAGGAGAUACCCUUGGCCGUUGAGGCCAUAGAUGGUAGACCAUUAAGUUCUCCAGUUGUUACUCAUGAGACUGUACCAUUACACAUGUACACAGGGGUUUUACACUAUGAAACCAUUCGAUUCCAGGUCAUCACCUCUCCCUCUUCACAGUUAGUAUUAGGGUAUCCAUGGUUACGUGCUCACAAUCCCAUUUUUGACUGGGAGACAGGGCAAAUAAAAUCAUGGAGUGAGGCCUGCCACGAGUCUUGUACGUUGGAAGUCACACCUUUAAAUUCUAUUGAGGUACCUACCAGUCCUCCUUUGUCUACGGUUAUACCCCCUCAGUAUUUAUCUCUAAAGACUGUUUUCGAUAAAAGGGAGGCUGAGAAAUUACCGCCUCACAGACCCUAU